RNAcentral lists this ribosomal RNA (118 nucleotides) under Pteropus alecto (black flying fox). Lineage: Eukaryota; Metazoa; Chordata; Mammalia; Chiroptera; Pteropodidae. The record is from RNAcentral.
GUCUACGGCCACGCCACCCUGAACGAGCCCGAUGUCUGAGCUCAGAAGCUAAGCAGGGUUGGGCCUGGUGUUAGUACUUGGAUGGGAGACCACCUAGGAAGACCAGGUGCUGCAGGCG